Paramacrobiotus metropolitanus is the source of this 304-nucleotide long non-coding RNA. RefSeq lists it as uncharacterized. The record is from RefSeq and is a predicted model, not a curated record. The transcript is spliced from 3 exons. NCBI's taxonomy places the organism in Eukaryota, Metazoa, Tardigrada, Eutardigrada, Parachela, Macrobiotidae.
UGUGCCCAACAGUAUUGGCGAUCGGCAUGCUUACGAAAUGUGCCGGGUAGCAAUGCGUCUAAUGAUGGAUUUUCAAAAUAAGUUCCCUCAAACGACAAUGCAGCUGCGAAUUGGGAUUCACAGCGGAUCUUGUGUCGCGGCUGUGGCGGGCCUUCAGCGGCCUAGAUAUUGUCUUUUUGGUGACACCGUUAAUACGGCAGCGAGAAUGCAGAGCCAUGGUGAAGGCUCCAGGAUUCAUCUAAGCAGUACAACGGCCAUAAUGUUGAACGAGAAGCAUUCGGACACACGAUGCAUACCACGAGGC